This 503-nucleotide ribosomal RNA is filed under the name uncultured bacterium. RNAcentral describes it as "partial 16S ribosomal RNA". It matches the Rfam family "Bacterial small subunit ribosomal RNA", at positions 30 to 523 of the family's 1533-position model. The record is from RNAcentral.
AUUGAACGCUGGCGGCAGGCUUAACACAUGCAAGUCGAGCGGGGUGAUGGUGCUUGCACUAUCACUUAGCGGCGGACGGGUGAGUAAUGCUUAGGAAUCUGCCUAUUAGUGGGGGACAACAUCUCGAAAGGGAUGCUAAUACCGCAUACGUCCUACGGGAGAAAGCAGGGGAUCACUUGUGACCUUGCGCUAAUAGAUGAGCCUAGGUCGGAUUAGCUAGUUGGUGGGGUAAAGGCCUACCAAGGCGACGAUCUGUAGCGGGUCUGAGAGGAUGAUCCGCCACACUGGGACUGAGACACGGCCCAGACUCCUACGGGAGGCAGCAGUGGGGAAUAUUGGACAAUGGGGGAAACCCUGAUCCAGCCAUGCCGCGUGUGUGAAGAAGGCCUUAUGGUUGUAAAGCACUUUAAGCGAGGAGGAGGCUCUUUUGGUUAAUACCCAAGAUGAGUGGACGUUACUCGCAGAAUAAGCACCGGCUAACUCUGUGCCAGCAGCCGCCGUAA